ACAACAAGACCAAAUACCACAAACACCACCCGACAUUCUUCUUCUUCUUCCAGCCGAGAGGAAACCCAGAAAACUCCAGCGAUCCAGCGAAAUUAUAGCCCAGACGCGAGUCCAUCGCACAUCCUCUCCUCUCUCCUCAUCGUUUUCGUACAAGAGCAUUCUAGAAUCUACAGGUGUCUCCAUCUCAUGUGUUCUUCGUCCUUCCUCCAAAAUCGGACGGCUCCCUUCUUUAAUCCGUUGAGAAUGGUACAAAUUCCAGUCGUUCGACCUUAUCCUUUGAGAGGAAUUUGAAUUUGAAAUUCGAAAUGGAAUCCGGUUUCCCCCCUUUUGAAUUCCAAUUUUUCCUCUUAUAAAUAUCCAUCUCUUUUACUGUUUUAGAGGGUUUUUUUUGGGGGGGGCUUCCACUGAUACAGAGAAAUAGCUUAAAGGAAAAUAUAUAAAAAUACAUACGAAACACACUUCAAAGUAGAGAAGAUAACUGAUUCGAACUCCAGUUCCUAUCUUGUUCGAUCAAAAAGCUUCUUGAAGGCUCUUUGAUUGUGGUGGUGGAAAGCUUUUUCAACUUGUCGUCUCAGUUUCGCUGCUCCUAAGAAGGUAAUACUUCUGUUUUUUUUUCUUUUGUUACAGCUUCUCUUUGUGUUCUAGAUUUUGUUUCGUGCUAUGUAGAAUCUCAUCGCCUAGUGAAGUAGUCUAUUUGUUUAUGCUCGUUUCAAGUAUUACUUAGUUUGAAGUGUAUUUCUCUUGUGCUUUCAGGCUAUUUCUUGUUUAGCCCCGAUUUCUAGCUUAGUGCCUUGCUUGUUUAUAUGUUAGUUGCUACAUAUCUUUGACCAUUGGUUUUUACAAGAAAAGUGUAAUUUCAAUAUAUAUGUUUGCUCUAGCCUCUUUAUGUGAUUAGGAUGUGGAAAUCAGUGUGUGAUUGGUGAUAAACCUCUGUAAAGAACCAUUGGUUUGUUCUCUUCGGUUUUCCGAUUCUUGUUUGUUCUUGUUGAUUAACUGUUAGACUUCCUAAAUGUCUGGUAGGCUGUGUGGUUAAAUAGCCAUGGUUUCAUAGGUUUAUAUAGUAUUCAUAUUUGUCACCUAAUUUAUCCCUUGCUUCUCUUAAAUUUAAAGAGUUAAAAUUCAUCCUUUGUAUUUAGUGUGAGUGUUGUUUUGACAUGAUUUUAUUUUCAAUCACUUGUUCAUGCUUAUUUCUAGAUUAAUUAGCUUAAAUAUGCUUACUGUUGUGAGGUUUUGUUUCACUUCAAUUUUAAUUACUGAGAAUAAUGAUUCAACAGUGUAGAACUCGACUCAAUUUGUUAUGGUUUGUUUUCGUUAAAAUCUAGUUCUAGUAAUUAAGCCUUAAGAUCCCAUUUGUCCUUAGAUUUUGUUAACUAUAUGUUAUUUUGCUAUUUAUGAUCAAAGUUUAAAUGAUCCUAAUCCCAUUUUUGUGCUUGCCGGUUUAUUUGUUUAUUCUGAUAACUUGUUUGAUGGUCAUUUAAGCCAUGAUCCAUAUCCUAGCACUUUAAAUCCCUGUAGUAAAUUGAUAUGGCUGUAGAUUAGAUGUUAAUGAUUUCUUACUAUUUCAUUAUGCAUGAACCGGUUCAAAUUGAGUCCAUUGGACUCUUCCUCUCACCCUUGCAUCUUGGGUCGAGUCAAAACCCAACUUUCUUCCUUUUCGAGUCAACCAAAUCAAUUGGAAGCUGCUGUGUGGUGAUGAGGAGCUAAGUUACAGGUCUUGAAAGCAGCAAAUAAGGCUGAAAAAUUGGAUUUACAGACCCCGGAAAGUCCGAAAAGGGCUGUAUACCUGUUGUAUACAGCAGUAUACACUAGUAUACAUGGAGAAUAUUGAUAUAUAUGUCCAAAAUUUGAAAUACAGGUGCAAGAUACAGGUGCUGGAGUUUGAAGUAGGCUGUAUACGUUCGGUAUACAGCCCAAUAUACAUGAAAUGGGCCUGUAUACAACAGUAUACAUCUAAUGUAUAUCAGAUAUUUUAGAUUUAGGACAGGAUUUGGGUCUAUCAGAUUUAGGAAUUCGGGCCCAAGGGCCCAAAAUAAAUAUUUCUUCUCUCUUAUUAUAUAUAUAUAUAUAUAUAUAUAUGUUGUUUGACUAACUUUAUUUAUUCUAUGUUGAAUUUAAUUAAUUCCCAAAGUUAGCCAUUUCUCCUUAUUUUUAUAUACUCAUAUUAAAAUACUAAUAUUUUAUACUUAGCUUUAUUUUCAUAUUUUUUGUCUUGCCAUUUAAGUUAUUUCCCCCUUUAGAAAAUUCCCCUUUAGUUCAUUCCCCCUUAUGAUAAAAUAAAAAUGAUAAAAAUAAUAAUAGUAAUAAAUGAAUUAGUUAAAAUAAAUAAAUUCUUUUACUUCGUUAAACUUUCAAAAUUAGUCAAAGUCGUGAGUUCUUUACUUAGUUAAAUUUUAAAAAUAAUUAGUUAAAAUAAAUGAAUUUUUUUACUUAUUUAAAAUUUCUAAGUUAGUCAAAAUCAUUUUUAGUCAAAUCGCCGGUCAACCGUGAGUUAGCGGGUUUUCCGAGGGCCUAACACCUUCUCAGAAUGUACAUUGAACUUCGAACCCUUCUUAUUUUCAAUUGAUUUUAAUCUGUUUAAAUCUUUUGAAAACCUUGAGUUUUUUUCUUGAUUUUUACUAAAAAGGUUAAGUGGCGACUCUGUUCUUUUGGAAAUUCGAUUUCUCUUGAACCAUAAGUUUAAUCGAUUUUUCGAAAACUCAGUCAUUUUCCUUUUACAUAUAUUUUUCGAGUAAACACCCAUGCGCCAAGCAUGUUUAUUUCAGUGUAAUUUUCAUCCUAAAAGAUUGAGGAUUGGAUGUUCUUUAGUUGUGAUCUUGAAUUGAUUUCAUUCUAGAACUUGUAUGGGGAUUGAUGAGUUUCUUGAGAUGGUAUUUUUUUAAUCAAUUUUCGAGUUCUUUUGAGUUAGAUUCUUGUGUAUAGGUUUUGGGUAUCUGAAUCUAAAGAGAUAUUGAGAAAAAGAAUCGAAUUUAAUCGAAUUAAGGUCAGAAAAUGAGAAGAAAAAUUCGUCGGGUUUACCUGGGGAAGCUGGCGCGACGCACCAUUGAUACGCCAACAAGGCUAGUGUGGCGCUCCAGCAGUGUGCCAUAAAUGGGUUACAGUACUUCGGGGAUGGCACCCUGCACCAGGAAUGCGCCUGGGUUGUCUGCCCCCACCCGUUUUUCAUCGUUUAUCCCAUCUAAGUCCUUCUAAAGUGUACUAACACUUCCUAUUGAUUCUAAUUACUUUAAAUGACUUAUAAACAUCUAGAAAUCAUCCAUAAACAUGAAUCGUAACCUUGAAUCCAUAAAUUCAAAUUCAAGGAAAGUUAAGAGCCAAGUCUAGAGAGUUCUUAGAGUCCUUUCAAGUAGUUUUUUGCAAAUGUUUUAAUCUUCUUUUAAGACUUGAUUUUUGAGUUAAGUGAGAGUAAGAAAUGAAAUUCAUUUCUUCAAAAGAGUAUAUGGGGACUAUGUAUUCCCAAAGAGUAAAUGUUUUCACAUUUGAACAAGAAAGGAAACACUGAUUUCCAAAGGAGGCUUUGAGCUAGUUUUCAGUAAAGAGUAAAUGCUUUCACAAUUAAGCAAUAGAGGAAACACUGAUUUCCUAGAGAGCCUUUGGGCUAAUUUUUGAGUAAUUAUCUCAAACCAUAGAAGGAGUUAUGUUUUUAAACAUAUGAGCUAGUUAUAUUUUGGGAGUAGUAUUGAGCACCGAUAUGGGGGAGAGUUUAGACAACUCACAUCCCCCAAAAACCAUGUAGCCAUCAUGGGUAGAAAAGGAUCAUACUUUUUAGAUGAUUCCUUAGUGUUUUUUAGCAAAGACCAGUGGAUCCACUUAGUAGUUAGGUUCUGUACCCCCGGCAAGGUAUAUGACAGCCCUGGUAGCGUGAGGCAAAAUGAUGUAUCAUCACAUAGCUCUUAAGUGAUGGUUUUCGGUUAGAGAAGCUUCCACAGUUAUAUUUUAUAUUCUUAUAUACACAGAGAUUACUUGUAUUUUCAUAUACAAACAAAGUUUAUAUUGUAUCCUUGCAUACAAAUUGAGUUACCAUUGUAUUUUUUUUAUAUACACAGAGUUAUUAUCCACAUGUUUUAAAAGCUUUCCUUUAUAUUGCAUUUAUAUUUCUGCUUUAUAUUGAAAUGAGUUGAGUUGAGUUGAGUUGAGACCAGGUAUGUUCUUUUAGUUCCUUUCAAGCUUAUGUCUUGUUUUAGAAUUCCCCUCGCCUGCUCGUACAUUCAUUAUACUGAUGCUAGUUGGCCUGCAUCUUUUAUGAUGCAUAUUUAGGUAACCAGGAUCAGAAUCCAAAACAUCGUUGAUCCAGUUGAGCUCCAGAGUUGUUGGUGAGCCUCUUUGCUUCCGGAG
RNAcentral lists this long non-coding RNA (4332 nucleotides) under Solanum tuberosum (potato). RNAcentral's name for it is "long non-coding RNA (STUB_LNC003362)". Lineage: Eukaryota; Viridiplantae; Streptophyta; Magnoliopsida; Solanales; Solanaceae. The record is from RNAcentral.